This 789-nucleotide ribosomal RNA is filed under the name uncultured bacterium. RNAcentral's name for it is "bacterial SSU rRNA". It matches the Rfam family "Bacterial small subunit ribosomal RNA", at positions 8 to 796 of the family's 1533-position model. The record is from RNAcentral.
AGAGUUUGAUCCUGGCUCAGGAUGAACGCUAGCGGCAGGCUUAACACAUGCAAGUCGAGGGGUAGAGGUUGCUUGCAACCUUGAGACCGGCGCACGGGUGCGUAACGCGUAUGCAACCUACCUUUUACAGAGGGAUAGCCCAGAGAAAUUUGGAUUAAUACCUCAUAGUAUAUAUCUUUCGCAUGUUAGGUAUAUUAAAGUUCCAACGGUAAAAGAUGGGCAUGCGUCCUAUUAGCUAGAUGGUAAGGUAACGGCUUACCAUGGCUACGAUAGGUAGGGGUCCUGAGAGGGAGAUCCCCCACACUGGUACUGAGACACGGACCAGACUCCUACGGGAGGCAGCAGUGAGGAAUAUUGGACAAUGGGCGCAAGCCUGAUCCAGCCAUGCCGCGUGCAGGAAGAAGCAUCUAUGGUGUGUAAACUGCUUUUGUACAGGAAGAAACAUCCCGACGUGUCGGGRCUUGACGGUACUGUAAGAAUAAGGAUCGGCUAACUCCGUGCCAGCAGCCGCGGUAAUACGGAGGAUCCAAGCGUUAUCCGGAAUCAUUGGGUUUAAAGGGUCCGUAGGCGGUUUGGUAAGUCAGUGGUGAAAGCCCGCAGCUCAACUGUGGAACGGCCAUUGAUACUGCCAGACUUGAAUUACAAGGAAGUAACUAGAAUAUGUAGUGUAGCGGUGAAAUGCUUAGAUAUUACAUGGAAUACCAAUUGCGAAGGCAGGUUACUACUUGUGGAUUGACGCUGAUGGACGAAAGCGUGGGGAGCGAACAGGAUUAGAUACCCUGGUAGUCC